RNA transcript from Lathyrus oleraceus (garden pea), 1163 nucleotides. It is a transcript of the gene named protein MAIN-LIKE 2-like, with no coding region annotated. The transcript has 3 exons. Lineage: Eukaryota; Viridiplantae; Streptophyta; Magnoliopsida; Fabales; Fabaceae. The record is from RefSeq and is a predicted model, not a curated record.
UCAUCUACAAUUCUCACUACUUCAUCUACAUUACUUCUUUUACAAUUUCAUCUUCAACAAAAUCUUCCAUUUUCAUCUACACCAACUCCCCAACAAUAUGUCUUUACUCACAAUGGGCGAAGCACACAGAGGAACAGUUGCAAACAUCGCGACAUACGAUGUCUCAAGGUUUCGAACUCGAGUCCACGAAUUUGUCCCAAUGGACCCGAUGAUUCAACCUUAUGUUGAACUCGCCGGUUUUGGUCACCUUAGCAAAAUUAUGUCUUGGUCUAUAGAUAACAAGUUCAUUCUAGCCUUAUGCGAAAGAUGGAGGCCAGAGACACACACAUUUUGGUUUCCAACCGGUGAGUGUACCGUGACGUUAGAAGACGUCUACAUGCUUUUAGGACUACGAAUUGAAGGCAAAGCUGUUAAUGGUAAGACCAACUAUGCAAAUUCAAUUUGCAUGAAGCUUUUAAACACUGAUUUGUUAGAUGAUAAUGCUAGGGGACAAGGUAUACUACUUUCACGCCUAAAGUCAUAUUAUAAUAGUUUUUAUUUAGAUGAGCAUUCUACCGAAGAUGCUCGAAUCAUCAAAACUAGGUGUUACAUAAUGUUGUUACUAGGAUCCUUUUUAUUUCCCGAAGGUAGUGGUUCUAGCAUGCAUAUUAUGUACUUACCUUUACUUAGACAUAUAGAUAGAAUAGGUAGUUAUAGUUGGGGAUCCGCAUGUCUAGCCUAUCUCUAUAGUUCGUUGUGCAAAAACUCCCACAAAGAUACUUCUACAUUUUCUGGAUGUGCUGUUUUGCUACAAGCAUGGGGAUGGUCAAGACUACCGUCUCUAGCACCGGUCAAUAACAACCCCUUCACUUUUCCAUAUGCAAAAAAGUAAGUUGUUUAAAUUGCUAUAUCUUUACUUCCUUCCUUACAGUUUAUUACCCAUAACUAAUUUAUUUUAACUUUUUGGUGUAGAUGGUCGGCACGCGGUAUGAAUUACAGCAGAUGUCCGAGACACUGUAUUACUCAAUAUCGCAACCUGUUGGAUCACCUUCGACCGGCAGACUUCAUUUGGCGUCCAUACCUUAAUAUGGAUCAUGAGCAUCAGAUCAACCCUGAAGACGCAGCCGUAUGGACAACAUGCACACCGAUAAUACGGUUCAUAACAGUGGAGCUGUAACACCCCG